AGUCGAACGGUAGCACAGAGAGCUUGCUCUCGGGUGACGAGUGGCGGACGGGUGAGUAAUGUCUGGGAAACUGCCCGAUGGAGGGGGAUAACUACUGGAAACGGUAGCUAAUACCGCAUAACGUCGCAAGACCAAAGAGGGGGACCUUCGGGCCUCUUGCCAUCGGAUGUGCCCAGAUGGGAUUAGCUUGUAGGUGAGGUAACGGCUCACCUAGGCGACGAUCCCUAGCUGGUCUGAGAGGAUGACCAGCCACACUGGAACUGAGACACGGUCCAGACUCCUACGGGAGGCAGCAGUGGGGAAUAUUGCACAAUGGGCGCAAGCCUGAUGCAGCCAUGCCGCGUGUAUGAAGAAGGCCUUCGGGUUGUAAAGUACUUUCAGCGGGGAGGAAGGGAGUGAGGUUAAUAACCUUAUUCAUUGACGUUACCCGCAGAAGAAGCACCGGCUAACUCCGUGCCAGCAGCCGCGGUAAUACGGAGGGUGCAAGCGUUAAUCGGAAUUACUGGGCGUAAAGCGCACGCAGGCGGUCUGUCAAGUCGGAUGUGAAAUCCCCGGGCUCAACCUGGGAACUGCAUUCGAAACUGGCAGGCUGGAGUCUUGUAGAGGGGGGUAGAAUUCCAGGUGUAGCGGUGAAAUGCGUAGAGAUCUGGAGGAAUACCGGUGGCGAAGGCGGCCCCCUGGACAAAGAC
RNAcentral lists this ribosomal RNA (689 nucleotides) under Klebsiella oxytoca. Its description in RNAcentral is "bacterial SSU rRNA". It matches the Rfam family "Bacterial small subunit ribosomal RNA", at positions 60 to 740 of the family's 1533-position model. The record is from RNAcentral. Lineage: Bacteria; Pseudomonadati; Pseudomonadota; Gammaproteobacteria; Enterobacterales; Enterobacteriaceae.